Molecule: long non-coding RNA, 100 nt
Organism: Populus euphratica (Euphrates poplar)
Lineage: Eukaryota; Viridiplantae; Streptophyta; Magnoliopsida; Malpighiales; Salicaceae
Exons: 3
Source: RefSeq, a predicted model, not a curated record
AGUCUCGUUCACAUAAGUGUAGCCGCAUUCUGUAGGGGGCUUGCAACAACCAGACUACAGCACAAGCAAAAGCAAAUCUGUUAUGAAUUUAAACAAUAAA